This 254-nucleotide ribosomal RNA is filed under the name uncultured bacterium. RNAcentral describes it as "partial 16S ribosomal RNA". It matches the Rfam family "Bacterial small subunit ribosomal RNA", at positions 524 to 776 of the family's 1533-position model. The record is from RNAcentral.
UACGGAGGAUCCAAGCGUUAUCCGGAAUUACUGGGCGUAAAGAGUUGCGUAGGUGGCAGAGUAAGUCUGUAGUGAAAGCGUCCCGCUCAACGGGAUAAACAUUAUGGAAACUGCUCGGCUAGAGGAUGAGAGAGGUUAUUGGAAUUCCCAGUGUAGGAGUGAAAUCCGUAGAUAUUGGGAGGAACACCGAUGGCGUAGGCAGAUAACUGGCUCAUUCCUGACACUAAGGCACGAAAGCGUGGGGAGCAAACGGG